This is a long non-coding RNA of Chenopodium quinoa (quinoa), 1395 nucleotides long. RefSeq lists it as uncharacterized. The transcript has 5 exons. Lineage: Eukaryota; Viridiplantae; Streptophyta; Magnoliopsida; Caryophyllales; Amaranthaceae. The record is from RefSeq and is a predicted model, not a curated record.
UUAAAAAAACCAGAUAUACUCUUUCUUUCUCUUGCUUUCAUUUCCACGAUCUUUCCUCCUAUCUCAUCUGAUCUGCCUCUCUCUCUCUCCUCCAUUGAAGCAUACUCGAAUUUCUCCAUUGAAGAGGCUUCUGAGCUUUCUCUAAGGACUUUCCUCAAACUCCUUCUCUCUCCUUCUCCAUAACCGCCACUUUCCCUUUCCUUUCUUCUCUUCAAUAUCCUUCUACUUCUCUCUUUCUACAAUAUUGGAGGUUAUGGUUUCAGGGUUCGUCUAUUUUGAAUCAAAUCGAUGUGCGUGCAUCUUCAACAACAACGAAUUCGAAUCAAUUUCGAACCAAAAAUCAGAAAUUCGAGAAAUGGGACUCAAGUUGCGCAUGGACUUACCUGAGCAGGCAAUGGAAGUGACAACAGUAUUCUUUCGUACCUCAACUCCCGCAAGUGAAGCUGUUGAAACAUUGAAGAAUUUCUUAGAAGAAAGAGCAAAAAAAAUUAAAGCCUUACAAGAAAAAAUGAAGCUUGAUGACAAAGAAGCUAAAUAAUUUAGUCCUGUUGAUGCCUUUCCUGGGGAUAUAGUGAUUUUUGCACGGGUGCUAAAUCUUUUGAGAGUAUCUUACAGUGAGAAAAGCAUCAUGCUAUGGACUAUUUGAAUCAAGCUAAUGGAAUUCGGUUUAAUGGAAGGCUGUUAUUUGGGAAUUGAGCUAUUUGAAUCAAGCUAAUGGGAUUAUGUGGAAAUUUAUGCAUGACAAGGUGAUGCUUGGUUCUUUUAGUUUUAAUUUGAUUGCUUGAUUUAUCAGGAAGUUGAGGGGAACUAUAACCCAGUGUAAUUACUUUGGUUAGCUGGGUAAUGCAUAAGCUGAAGUUAAAGUUCUAUGACACCCUAUGAUUUAUUUUGAUGGGAGUUGUUAUUGAAAUAGUCACAAUUUGGGAAAAAAACAGUCCAAUAGCAAGUCUGUUUUGUCUAAAUUCAAGAGGCAAAUAUUGUUGGGAAAAUUUUGGAUAAUAUAUCUGGGAACUUUGACAGUAUAUGUUUCAACAGUAUAUUAAAACGUUUGAAGGUAUAUAUUUAUUAGACCCUAGAUAGGAAUUAAGAUGUUGUGCUGAAAUUCUAUGUUUUUAAUUCUGCCUAUAAUUACAUUCCUCCUGCCUUACUUUCAAGUUUGCUCUCUGCAAGAUGAAUUAGCAUAGAAAACAGACACAUCUGCAUCACCACCAAGAACAAGCCUAGCAACACAUCAGCUCAGCAUCACAGCUCCUUAGAAAACCAGCAACAUGGCUGCAAAAGGAAAACAGACCGCAGCACAGUAGUAUCAACACAGCAAACUUCUCAACAAACCAAAACAAGAUCCAAGUGUACUAGUCAGCAUUCAACUGAAAUCUCAAGUGUUUUUUUUUUUUU